AUGCUGGUGCUUGAGACGGUGGUCAAGCGAUUCGGAGAUCUGGUUCGGACCAACGUCACUUUCGCUAACCCGCUGUCGACUGAUCGCCCAUUAGGGUCAACUGCUCAGACCCCUGCUGCUCCAGUACAACUCCAUGCGUUCGACCCAGUGGCUGCUUCGACUGCCUUGACACUAUCGUUCUUUGUUGCGUACCAAACUCCAGAUGACUCGACAAGUGCCGCCAGGGAGGCUCUUCGCCAAGUGAAUCUUGCGAUGGAGCAAGUGAAGGUGGUGCAUGAGGCCAGUCAGGUGGCCUAUAAUGCCAGCACCACUCUGCAGACCAACGUUAAGAGGUCGUGUGAUCUUGGGGCUCAACUUUUCAAACCGAACAAGAAACAAAUCAGCCUCAGUCUUGAUCUGGAGCUGGCCAAGAAGAACCUCAAGACUGCUCAGGAUGAAGCGGCUAUCAUGGGAGAUGUGCAUAGUGAAAACCGUCAACUUCAAGCUUGUCUAAAGAAUGUUAUUUCUUUAGAGAAAAUGAAGGAGGCUUUGGAUAAGAAGGAUCAUGAUCUUGCUGCUGCUCAAAAGGAGGUGCGAGAGAAGAUAGUGCUUGCGGACAAGAAGCUGGCUUCAGUCAGCAAGUUAGAAGGAGAGAACUCGAAGCUGAAGACUGCCGUCUCUGAGGCCAAUCGGGAAUUCGAGCAACUGAAGAAGGACAAGGAGAACUUAACCAAUGAAUUCGGAAGCCUCAAAGCCAAGAAGGGCGAGCUGGAGUCCUAUCUAGGACAACUUGCUGCAAAACUGGUCCUGAAGCUUGAAGAACUUUGUCAGGACUUUGAGGUUGAGACUGGGUGGGUCGAGACGGGUCUCAACCCCAUCAAUUGUCCUGUUAAAGAUGAUGUUGUGAUGAACUUGCUACGGUUGGAAUCAUGCAUGGAAAACGUUGUUGCUUAUCUUGCCCGACUGAAGGCGGCGAUGACUCGGCUUGAUGCUGAACUCUGGCCUCAGGAGGAACUUUCACAAGAUCUCGAGUCGUUGAUGACUCGACUGAAUCAGAUCCCUGGCCGAGUGCAAGAAUGGAAGAAAUCGUCCGCUCGCUGUGGCCCUAACGUUGCCUUGUCGCUGGUCCGAGUGCACUGUAAGGAUGUCAGAGAAGACAAGCUGGCGGCCCUCAAGGUUGUGAACACCAAGAAGCACACUUUUCAGUCCUUUAUGGACACUUUCCUUGAAGCUGCCACUCGCAUCACAGACAACAUUGAUCUUGAUAGUUCCUAUGAUCCAACAAGCCCUUCUCCUGACGAGUGA
RNAcentral lists this ribosomal RNA (1284 nucleotides) under Triticum aestivum (bread wheat). RNAcentral's name for it is "partial small subunit ribosomal RNA". The record is from RNAcentral. Lineage: Eukaryota; Viridiplantae; Streptophyta; Magnoliopsida; Poales; Poaceae.